ACCCGAAAACCCGACCCGAACCCGAUCCGAAAAAAGCGGGUUAGGGUUGAGGUUUCCGACCCGAAAACUUAAAUGGGUCGACACGAACCCGAACCCGAAAUUAAAUGGGUUAGGUUAAGGUUGAAAAUCUCAACCCGAAAACGACCCACUUAACCCGAAAUAAAUUUCAGGUCAAAAUCAGGUCGGGUCAACCCGAACCUGACCUGAUAACCCGAACUAAUUUAAGUAAGAAAAAGAAAAAAAAACGUAAAAAGCUUAUUAAGCCCAGCCCAAAUUCACAAAGAGGCUUCCAUAUAUAAAUUCAAUACCCUAAAUGAACUCAUUUCCCCUCAUUGAUCUUCAGCCGUUUUUCCCCUCACUUCUCUCUCUUUAAUUUUCUCUCUCCUCAAAAACUCAUUGUUGAAUUCGACAGAGGUAGUUCCGUUAAGCCCAACUUUACCAUUGCCAUUUCCUUGACGGCUUGAAUCCUUCACUCCUCCACGAAUUCCUCUCCUUCAUCAAAGGUUUGGCAGCAAGAAGUAGCCCACCCAUGUUCAAUUGGAAAUGUUGUGGAUCAAUUUUGAAGCUUGAGGUGGUGAACAAGGAUGACAACCAUGACAAAUUGACAGUCCCAACAUCGCCCGAUCUUAAUCCAAAUGAAAAUCUUAUUGCAUCUUCUAUUAUUUUUUGAAAACUGUAAUUUGUGUUAUUAAAACUUUAUCUUUGGUUUGUAAUUAGUGAAUUACAAUUUUUAUUGGUUUAUUAUCGUUAAGUAGGAUUGUUACUUUGUUAGACUAA
Molecule: long non-coding RNA, 777 nt
Organism: Chenopodium quinoa (quinoa)
Lineage: Eukaryota; Viridiplantae; Streptophyta; Magnoliopsida; Caryophyllales; Amaranthaceae
Exons: 2
Source: RefSeq, a predicted model, not a curated record